Molecule: ribosomal RNA, 352 nt
Filed under: uncultured bacterium
Lineage: Bacteria
Description: bacterial SSU rRNA
Rfam family: Bacterial small subunit ribosomal RNA
Source: RNAcentral
GGACCCGCACAAGUAGUGGAGCAUGUGGUUUAAUUCGAAGAUACGCGCAGAACCUUACCAACACUUGACAUGUUCGUCGCGACUUUAAGAGAUUAAAGUUUUCGGUUCGGCCGGACGAAACACAGGUGCUGCAUGGCUGUCGUCAGCUCGUGUCGUGAGAUGUUGGUUAAGUCCCGCAACGAGCGCAACCCUCACUUUUAGUUGCCAUCAUUAAGUUGGGCACUCUGAAAGAACUGCCAGUGAUAAGCUGGAGGAAGGUGGGGAUGACGUCAAGUCCUCAUGCCCCUUAUGAGUUGGGCUACACACGUGCUACAAUGGACGGUACAGAGAGCAGCCACUACGCGAGUAGGAG